ACGGAGGGUGCGAGCGUUGUUCGGAAUUACUGGGCGUAAAGCGCGUGUAGGCGGCUUCUUAAGUCUGGUGUGAAAUCCCGGGGCUCACCCCCGGAAGUGCAUUGGAUACUGGGAAGCUAGAGUACCGGAGAGGAGGGUGGAAUUCCUGGUGUAGCGGUGAAAUGCGUAGAUAUCAGGAGGAACACCGGUGGCGAAGGCGGCCCUCUGGACGGAUACUGACGCUGAGACGCGAAAGCGUGGGGAGCAAACAGG
Molecule: ribosomal RNA, 252 nt
Filed under: uncultured bacterium
Lineage: Bacteria
Description: partial 16S ribosomal RNA
Rfam family: Bacterial small subunit ribosomal RNA
Source: RNAcentral